RNAcentral lists this long non-coding RNA (293 nucleotides) under Elaeis guineensis (African oil palm). RNAcentral's name for it is "long non-coding RNA (EGUI_LNC040316)". Lineage: Eukaryota; Viridiplantae; Streptophyta; Magnoliopsida; Arecales; Arecaceae. The record is from RNAcentral.
UCUCAUGCCAUUUUUGUUUUUUUGUACAAAUUUCUUUUCUUCUGUAACCAAAUUCACGAUUGUUGUUUUUGCCACCACCUAUAUCCUCCCUAAUUGCAUAAUCAUAUUAAGAAGCAGCUUGACCAUUGUUGACUUACAUUCCAUGUUAUUCAUUGGAAUUUAUGUCCUUAUACCCAGCAUUUGGUCUAGCAAAAAUAAGGAGGUUUUUGGAGCAGUGAUGAUGGAAGGGAGUUGAUUAGAGCCCCUUGCUCAAGAUUGGAAGACAGCAAGGAAAUGAGCAAUUACCGUUGAGA